UAGGCGCUAGUCUAAACAAGAUAGUUGAUUUCGACUCAACAGAUCUGGCUAAAACACCAGGCACCUAC
RNAcentral lists this transfer RNA (68 nucleotides) under Amblyrhynchus cristatus. Its description in RNAcentral is "tRNA-Arg". The record is from RNAcentral. Lineage: Eukaryota; Metazoa; Chordata; Lepidosauria; Squamata; Iguanidae.